AACGAACGCUGGCGGCAGGCUUAACACAUGCAAGUCGAACGAGAAACCAUCUUCGGAUGGCAGACAGUGGCAGACGGGUGAGUAACGCGUGGCAACCUACCUUUUUCUACGGAACAACAGUUGGAAACGACUGCUAAUACCGUAUACGCCCUGCGGGGGAAAGAUUUAUCGGUGAAAGAUGGGGCCGCGUUAGAUUAGCUAGUUGGUAAGGUAAUGGCUUACCAAGGCGACGAUCUAUAGCUGGUCUGAGAGGAUGAUCAGCCACACUGGGACUGAGACACGGCCCAGACUCCUACGGGAGGCAGCAGUGGGGAAUAUUGGACAAUGGGGGCAACCCUGAUCCAGCCAUGCCGCGUGAAUGAUGAAGGCCUUAGGGUUGUAAAAUUCUUUCGCUAGGGAUGAUAAUGACAGUACCUAGUAAAGAAGCCCCGGCUAACUCCG
Molecule: ribosomal RNA, 441 nt
Filed under: uncultured Hellea sp.
Lineage: Bacteria; Pseudomonadati; Pseudomonadota; Alphaproteobacteria; Maricaulales; Robiginitomaculaceae
Description: bacterial SSU rRNA
Rfam family: Bacterial small subunit ribosomal RNA
Source: RNAcentral